Otolemur garnettii (small-eared galago) is the source of this 135-nucleotide ribosomal RNA. The record is from Ensembl. Lineage: Eukaryota; Metazoa; Chordata; Mammalia; Primates; Galagidae.
GUCUAUGGCCUUACCACUCUGAAUGUGCCUGAUCUUGUCUGAUAUCAGAAGCUAAGCAGGAUCAGGCCUGGUUAGUACUUGGAUGGGGGAACUUCCCUACCUGUUGAUAGUUAUGUUAAUGGGUGGUUAUAGGAC